RNAcentral lists this long non-coding RNA (451 nucleotides) under Homo sapiens (human). RNAcentral describes it as "HSALNT0391293". Lineage: Eukaryota; Metazoa; Chordata; Mammalia; Primates; Hominidae. The record is from RNAcentral.
UCAGAGAAAGCAUGGUUCUGAAACAUUGGAAGGUAAAAUCCUAGAGGCUACCUGCAUUCCUUGGCUUUUAUCCCCAAUCUUCCAUCUUCGGAGCCAGCAACAAUAUAUUGAUCAUGAGGAGAGGGCUCACCCCUCACCCGGAGAAGUAGUUGGGGAAGCAAUAUGCGGAAACAAAGCCAUGAAUCUGACAAGAAAUGUACUUAAGAUUGUAUAUAUGGAGAUGAAUACCCAUUGUCCUUUGCACUUUCUGGAUGAUAAAUUAGAAAAGAAAAAUCCAAAGAAUGAAGUUGUGCUAUUUGUCCUCACUUCUGAUUUGGGAAACUAGAGGAAAUUAAGAUGGGAAAAGACCAUGUGAGGACACAGUGAGAAGGAGACCAUAUGCAAAGCAGGAAGGAAGAUCUCACUGGAACCAAAAACCAGCCCUGCUGGCACCCUGAUCUUGGACUUCUAG